UACGUAGGGGGCAAGCGUUAUCCGGAUUUACUGGGUGUAAAGGGAGCGUAGACGGAGCAGCAAGUCUGAUGUGAAAACCCGGGGCUCAACCCCGGGACUGCAUUGGAAACUGUUGAUCUGGAGUGCCGGAGAGGUAAGCGGAAUUCCUAGUGUAGCGGUGAAAUGCGUAGAUAUUAGGAGGAACACCAGUGGCGAAGGCGGCUUACUGGACGGUAACUGACGUUGAGGCUCGAAAGCGUGGGGAGCAAACAGGAUUAGAUACCCUGGUAGUC
RNAcentral lists this ribosomal RNA (272 nucleotides) under uncultured Oscillospiraceae bacterium. Its description in RNAcentral is "partial 16S ribosomal RNA". It matches the Rfam family "Bacterial small subunit ribosomal RNA", at positions 524 to 795 of the family's 1533-position model. Lineage: Bacteria; Bacillati; Bacillota; Clostridia; Eubacteriales; Oscillospiraceae. The record is from RNAcentral.